UCUAUAUCAAGUAAAUAAUCUCAUUUGUCUAAAAUUUGCAAAGCAUGUAAUAAGGAAAAUAGAGGUUUUAUAUCAUAGGUCAUUGCAUGACAGUUAAAGCAACCCACUAGAUACAUGAAAUGGUUGAUCCCAAAAUUCUUUGCUUAAACAUAAAACAAGUCCCCAACGGACAACUUUUACCUUCCAUGUCAAACCUUAGGAGUCAGCAACACAACCAUGCCAAACCUUUGGCUCAACAAUUUUACAUCCCGAUAAAUGUGUCCAGUGUAUCAAGAACCCUAUAAUUCCAAUGCAUCCAGGCAGCCAUGACAACAAUCAUUAAACAUUACUGGACUCUAUAUCCUGAAUUCACUUUACUCUCCCAACAGAUUGAAUUGCAGAAGUCCAUUCCCUUCUUUUUGCAUUGGCUAAGGCAAAUCAUGAAUUCCAUAAAUAGUAAUGACUUCAAAAGUGAAGGGAAGGAUUUUGAGUUCAAACUCUAUCAUUGUAUCUAAAAGGGAGAAAAUCUCUCUAUGAUGAAAAUCAUGACCUGAACAAAUGGGAUAUCCGAUUUUUCUAUAUACAGCAAGUUUUCCUAUUAUGUAAAGAACUCUCCAGCAAAUUCUAAUAAGUUGUGACACCACAUAUCCAUGAAUCAAAAGUGAAUUAUACAAUGGUUUCAACGUGAUCAACUAGAGUAUUAUCUCUCUCUUGUUUGGAAGACAAUACAAACCAGCUGUCAAACCUCAGUCUGCCUGCAUGGGCGGUUAAAAUAUCUUAGUUUUGACUGCAUUGGCUCAUCAAUACCAUUGGUUUUAAUAAAGUGUUCUUUAUGCGCCCAAAUAGUGGACUAUACAAAGUUCAAAGUUCAUACAAAUUUG
Molecule: unclassified non-coding RNA, 860 nt
Filed under: Hevea brasiliensis (rubber tree)
Lineage: Eukaryota; Viridiplantae; Streptophyta; Magnoliopsida; Malpighiales; Euphorbiaceae
Source: RNAcentral